UCCGUAGGUGAACCUGCGGAAGGAUCAUUAGCGCG
Molecule: ribosomal RNA, 35 nt
Filed under: Trichophyton mentagrophytes
Lineage: Eukaryota; Fungi; Ascomycota; Eurotiomycetes; Onygenales; Arthrodermataceae
Description: partial 18S ribosomal RNA
Source: RNAcentral